Epinephelus lanceolatus (giant grouper) is the source of this 907-nucleotide long non-coding RNA. RefSeq lists it as uncharacterized. The record is from RefSeq and is a predicted model, not a curated record. NCBI's taxonomy places the organism in Eukaryota, Metazoa, Chordata, Actinopteri, Perciformes, Serranidae.
UAAAGUAAAAACAAUUAACUAUGUUAAUAUAUAUUAUAUAUAGCGUGAACAGAGAGAGGACUGAGGCCCCAUCAGAGCUGAAGCUGACCAGAAAGAGAACUGAGUCCUCUUUCAAAUGAACUGAUAAUGUGAACACUUUUUCUGUUGGUCCACUUUUUGAUGUGCUUUCAGAGGACUGAGUUCGGUUUGUUUAAAAAGGACCUCAUGUGAAAACACCCUUCAUAAUCAAGAAAGUGUUCAUGGCUGAGAACCUCCUGUGUGUUUGAUGCGCUUCCUCCUUGUUAUCGGGAAUUGAGUUCAGGUGUGAUCACUUUGCCUGCACCGCCUGCAGCAGAGCCCUGGGCUCUCUGGCAGCAACUGUUUGACUGAGUAAAAACUGGAUGUUGUUGUGUACCUGGUGACGGGGGCGGCCAACGAUGGAGGGGAACACUGCUCUGGGGGCGUCAUCUCCGGCAAAGCCAGCCUUCACCAGGCCGGAGCCGUUGUCACAGACGAGGGCGGUGGUCUCAUCGUCGUCACACAUGUCUGCGGUAUCUGGAGGACAGAGGUCAGAAGGCGAGCUGGACCCUGAGAGCCAUCUGCAGCCGCUGUAGCUGUGAAAGUAGAUCAUCACGGAGGAUCCCCGUCAGGGUGGCAGUCAGCCAGCCGUGGAAUCUAUUUAUAACCAACAUCUGCCCCUCGUCACCAAACAGGAGGAAGUCCUGACUGCUGCCGGAUCAAGUUUCUGUCACUUUUGAGGUCUGACGACUCUGAUAUCAGAUGCACACUGCUGCAGAUCUUGGCUCAUUACUGCCACCUGCUGAUCAGUCAACUUUUUGGGUCCUAUCAACACAGUGUGCAGAUCUUUUGUUGGACUUUUAGGUUUAGUUUUUGUUUUGAUCCAGCACCUGAAGAAGAUUCGGACAUG